Molecule: ribosomal RNA, 573 nt
Filed under: uncultured rumen bacterium
Lineage: Bacteria
Description: bacterial SSU rRNA
Rfam family: Bacterial small subunit ribosomal RNA
Source: RNAcentral
GGCAGCAGCUAAGAAUAUUCCACAAUGGACGGAAGUCUGAUGGAGCGACGCCGCGUGCGCGAUGAAGGCCGUGAGGUUGUAAAGCGCUUUUCUUGAGGGGGAACAACACAUUCAGGGAAUGGGAUGUGGAUGACGUGAAUCGAGGAAUAAGCCCCGGCUAACUACGUGCCAGCAGCCGCGGUAACACGUAGGGGGCGAGCGUUGUUCGGAAUCAUUGGGCGUAAAGGGCGCGCAGGCGGCCCGGUAAGUCUGGUGUAAAAUGGUCGUGCUCAACACGAUCAUGCGCUGGAACCUGUCGGGCUAGAGUCAACGAGGGGAUGCCGGAAUUCCAGGUGUAGGGGUGAAAUCUGUAGAUAUCUGGAAGAACACCGAUGGCGAAGGCAGGCAUCUGGCGACUGACUGACGCUGAGGCGCGAAGGUGCGGGGAGCAAACAGGUUUAGAUACCCUGGUAGUCCGCACAGUAAACGAUGUGCACCAGGUGGCGGGCAGCAGUGCUCGGUACCGAAGCAAACGCAUUAAGUGCACCGCCUGGGGAGUAUGCCCGCAAGGGUGAAACUCAAAGGAAUUGACGG